This 1161-nucleotide long non-coding RNA is filed under the name Ananas comosus (pineapple). RNAcentral describes it as "long non-coding RNA (ACOM_LNC007594)". Lineage: Eukaryota; Viridiplantae; Streptophyta; Magnoliopsida; Poales; Bromeliaceae. The record is from RNAcentral.
CAAACUUUAAUUCAUUAUAAUUUUUGGAUUGAACUUUCUGAAUAAUUUGCAAUUAAGUCUCACAGUUUAAUUUUUUUGACUAAAUGUUAAUAAAUUACUAGCAUAGAAAUGAUGCAGUUUUUUAAUUAUUGAUGAUGCAAUAAUAAUUAAGAAGCUACAUCACUUCUAUAUUAUUAAUUCAUCAACAUUUAAUCCAAAAAAGUAAAUUAAAAAACUUGAUUCAACAAUUUAAAAAGUUCAUUAAAAAAUUACAAUAAAUUAAAGUUUGAAAAAUAAAAUGUCCCGCACCCCAUAGUUUGAGUACUAAAAGCGUAAUCUAGGGUAAUUUACCCCCCUAAAAAAAAGAGAAAUGUUUAAGUCUAGAAUCCAAAGAAAUCGUAAUCUUCAUUAUCCCUUAAUCCAAUGAUUUAAGACUUUAAAAUUUUUUUUUGCUUUUUAUUUUAAAAAAAAGAGCAAUAAGACUAGCGUGUUAAUAAUAGUCUUUAAAUGGGUUAAAUUGUAAAAAUUUUAAAGCAACGCUAUAUAUACACUAUAAAAGAGGUGUAUGAUAUACAUCCCAUUUAUUUAAUGAGUAAAUAAAUGUGGGUAGUAAAAAUAUGUUAUUCAUUAGAUUAGUGAGGUGCAAGAUAUAUAUCCCUUUCAGAACGGGCUUUUUUAUAAAAUGACCCUUCAGAAAUUCAAAAUUGGCAAAAUGACUCUGCCAAAAUUUUAUUUGUAAAACUAACACUCCUUUCGCUACGUGGGCGCCACGUCAGGAUUUCUGACAAAGACGGUGAAUCGUUUACCGUCUUUGUAAUAUUUAUUGUAAAAGCAGUGAAUGGCUCACCGCCUUUAGAAGGCAGUGAACCAUUCACCGCCUUUAGAAGGCAGUGAAUUUAGUGCAAAAUCUCCCUUACCGCCCUUUCCCCCUUUCCGCCCUUUCAAGUCCGCCAUUUUUGUGCCAUCGAGAAGACGGGGAACGAUUCACCGUUUUAUCAAAGACACCAUAUCCAUUCACCGACUUCACAACAAAUAUAACAAAGACGGUGAACGAUUCACCGUCUUUUUGAGGAAUUCCUGAUGUGGCGCCCACGUGGCGAAAGGAGUGUUAGUUUUACAAAUAAAAUUUUGAUAGGGUUAUUUUGCCAAAAUCGAAUUUCUGGAGGGUCAUUUUAUAAAAAA